Long non-coding RNA from Podarcis raffonei (Aeolian wall lizard), 1257 nucleotides. RefSeq lists it as uncharacterized. The transcript has 2 exons. The record is from RefSeq and is a predicted model, not a curated record. Lineage: Eukaryota; Metazoa; Chordata; Lepidosauria; Squamata; Lacertidae.
GGGAGAGAGAUGUAUGGUGAGUCUCUCGUUACCCAGAAUGCCCUGCUUGCUUAGGCGCUAAAUGCAGCAGUUCCUUAAAAAAAGGAAAAAGAUAUUGAGGCUAAUAGCAGGACCAGACCAAGACAUUUGCUGUCUGAGGAAAAGAACAAGAUUGUGCCGUCUCCCAGUUCCACAUGCAGAAGUCAACGCUUUUCGUUGCGAUGUUAAAUCAUUACUGUUCUCUCACCAAAGAGUACUUUCGUCAAACUUGGGGCUUGACUUCCAGGAUUCCAACAACUAGUCCUGGGGCUGCCACCACAUGUUACUUUCAUCCUCCUUAGUAUGUUACCCUUGUAGAAAUCCAUAGGAAUGGGGAUGGGGACAAAGUUAGUUAGCUCAACCUGUGGCUCCAUCUACAACUGGCUUUGCCUUCACCUACCACUGACUUCUCAGCCUUCUUCCCCACCAGUCCCACAGGGCACCAGAUAUCCUUGCUCUCCAGAUUUACCUCAUUGGCUCUUGGAUAGCCUGCAGCCAAGACCAGCAGUAAGAGAAGAGGUGAAACAUACUCCAGCAAACCACAGAGAUGAACAGGGGCAGGGACAUCCAAGGGAGGAAAAACGGCAAAUCCAAAGGACUGUCAGUUUGAAGGCCUUGCUUCUUUAUCCAGAAAUGGCAAGAUGUGUGUGAGAAGGUGCCUACAAUUUCCUGUGCGGGCUAUGCCCCGAGUGUCUGAGGAAAGGAGCAAUCAGAUUUCUCACUUGUUUUAAAUGGCUUGAGGAAAUGGAACACACCAAUUGGGCAGUUCAGCAAAUCUCUUGUAAUGGAUCACAUCACGGUUCAGUCAGUCAUGUGUUGGUUUAAUCCUGGGAUUGACCUCUCUGCACCUGCAGGAAAGCACAGCCAUUCAUUCUACAGUCAUUCUGAAACUUCCUUAUUUGCAGACAACAGUCAGUCAGUGUACUGGAUAGAUCAGAGAUGGGGAACUUGUUGUCCUGCAUAAUUUGUUGGACUACAAUUCCCAUUACCCCUGAUAAUUGUCCAUGCUGGCUUGAGGUGAUGGGAGUAGGAGUCCAGCAACAUCUAGAGAGCCGCAAGUUUUGUAUUCUUGGGAGAGAGAGUCUUGGACAAGUGGGCAAUGGCAGCAGGAGAGCCACUGUGAAGCAAUUUAAAAAGCAGAGACAAUACAUCGAAAAGCUUCAGUGUACAUAAGACCAAUUCAUAAAGCAGCAUCGAUGACAAUACAAACAUAUUGGCAAAUAAAUUUUAAUAAAUGAA